GGGCCGGUGAUCUAGCUGGCCAUGAUGCCGCCUUCACACGGCGGAAAUCGGGCGUUCGAAUCGCCCCCGGCCCACCA
This 77-nucleotide transfer RNA is filed under the name Candidatus Thorarchaeota archaeon. Its description in RNAcentral is "tRNA-Val". It matches the Rfam family "tRNA". Rfam says of the family: Transfer RNA (tRNA) molecules are approximately 80 nucleotides in length. Their secondary structure includes four short double-helical elements and three loops (D, anti-codon, and T loops). Lineage: Archaea; Promethearchaeati; Candidatus Thorarchaeota. The record is from RNAcentral.